CUGACUGGUAAUGCAGGGGUCCCGGGUUCGAUUCCCGGUCCAGCCAAAGAUUUUCUCCUCUCUCCUAUAUAACAACAGUUAAGAAGUUAAGAGCCAUUCUCUGUAACCACUUAAAAAAAUUCGGCACGCAUAGUCACCGAUUUUCACGAAACUCACCUGAAUGAAAAAUCUAUAUAACAUAUUCAAGAAAAUAUAUUUAAAAAUUAGAUAGUGAUCAUGGUUGCUAUGGAAACAGGUACAAUUUUAUCAAGUUUGGCCAUUUUCUAGAAUUUGGUAGUUUUGGCACAAAAGUUGAAUAUAAAAGAUUAUGAAUAGUCUUAAAAUUCUAAUUUUCAAAUUAAAUUAUAAAACAGAUCCCAUAUUUGUCAUUUAAGAAAAAAAAAGAAUGGACAAUCCUAACUGAUUUUUAUAAUUGAAGAAAUCUGUAAAAUUGUGUUUAAAUUCAAUGGUUUUUAUGUCUUAAUAACUUUUAUUCGCAUCCACCUCAAAUAAAGUGACACAAGUUUUUAAAACAACUAAUCUAUGUUCUUCAUAAAUCUAAACUAAAACUUUUGGGAAUCUGCCUAUUUCAUACAAUUUGAAGUGAAUGAUUUAUGGGGGGAAAUGCAUUCUGUAACCAAGAGUUAUUCCCCUUUGAAACUCUUCAACGUGAUAAGGCUGUGAAAUUACAUAGAAACACAUAUAAUAUGGCUGGAUAAUGUCUUACUGCAUGCUGACAGAAGUUUAGACGAAGACAUGUGGCAUUCAAAAUAUUCUCUCCACUCACCCACACAAAAGAAGAAGGUGUGAGAGACAUAUCUCCGAGUACCAGCGUUCUAGUAAUACAGGAAGUGUCAUAUUGUCAUUUUGGUGGGGGCCAAGUCAGAAGCAUCAGUGUAUGUUCGAUGCUUAUGUUGCCUCAAAGGAUAUGAUAGGGUGUGGUUCAUUUAACCGGAAAGAAUUUCUAUCAGGACAGCAGAUCACAUUAUAUUUUAGUUGCCUCUAUGCCAUUGAGAAGACGAUUAGCCAUGAUGACUAUAUAUGCGCAAAAUUAGAAAAUGAAAAAGAUUGUGUGUGCUUAUCUUGUCUAUUUUGUAAUAUAUUAUUCUAAAAUAAAGGUAUACCAUUUAUAAUAGGAUACGAUUAUGAAAUAUUUAUCAUCGGAACUCACUGUUCAAAGGCCGUAAUUAAGCGCCGAGCAUAGGCCUAAAUUUUGCAACCCUCACUGACAAUGGUGACGUCUCCAUAUGAGUGAAAAAUUCUUCGGCGGUACGUUAAAUGAUAAUCAAUAAAUCAACCCAUGGGUUCCAACGAUGUCAGAUAUUAAAGAUAUUGACUUUCCCAGCAUACUAAAUGACUUCAAUAUGAACAUCAUUGGUAUGUUACAGUUACAAGCAAGGUCUUCUUAUGAUGUUGAAAUAUAAUUCACAUACCUAUGUUUAAAAAGAUACGUUAAACGAGUGACCAUGAUGAACGUCCAUACUCUAGAAAACAGAGGCCCUCAAUUGUUUUUAAUCAAAUGCCAAGGUCACGAGUCAAGGUCAAAAUACUUCCUCAUAAGUAACUGUAAAUUGUCAAGUCAUGUAAUAAACAAUGUUAGUUUAAUAGAUUUCAUACAUGGUACUGGCAUAACAUUUCUUGCACAUACAUAGUAAGCAGAGCUAAUAUUGAACUGCAUAGAAGGGGGGGGGGGGGGGGGGGGGGGGUAAUUCCUCAUGAAUCAAUGGUAAAUUACAAUCUUUAUGUAUCUUAUUUAGUUUAUUUAACUUGAACAAUUUUUAAGAUCAAUGAUUCAAUUUCAAUGUCACACUUAAUUCGAUUGGCAAGGUGAAAAAAUGUACAUGAUAGUUUGAAAUAACUGAAAUAUUCAAAUAUGCAUUUUCUAGAUAUGGUAGUUAUUUUGAUGAAUUCUUAAGAUAUACAUUUGCAAUUUGUGAUACAUGUACAAUACACAAAUAGAAAUCAUGCACAUUUGAAGAAAAAAAAAAGAAAAAAACCAAAAACUAUGCAUUGAUUUAAUUAUCUGUUACAAAUUAAGAUUGUUUAUGAUUGAAGAACAUGCAUGAUGUAUAACAAAAUGAGAUUUACUUGAAAAGAAUGUGAACAUCAAGUUUGCUGUUUUAUGAUAUUUUGUUACCAUAGCAACAAUGUAAUAUGAAUUAUCUAUCAGUAUUAAUAUUUUAUCAACUAUAACAUUGACUUCAGUUGAAUCUGUCUAUAAAAGCAUUUUUUUGGGGGUCUAAAAAUUUAUUUAUUUUGCAUGGAUUUCGAAUUUGAAAAGAAAUAGCAAUUUUCGUUUCCAUGGCAACCAACAUGAAUUCUCAUAUUACACUUGUUAAAAUUUAAAAUCUAACAUCAGUAGCAAUCGGUUAUUAAGAUUAUAUACUUUGAAUACAUAGAAAAUUGUAUUUUGAAUUACAUUGAAAAUUGCAUCUCUACUGUCAUAUCAUGACGAAAUGCAUAAUUUUGUUUCCAUGGAAACACAGCUUAGAUGGUAGAUUCCCAAACAUGUCUCAUUGUUAUAUGAUAGUACUAUAUCUAAUGUAUGUUGUACAAGCAUUUAUAGAUUUCAAGCUGAAUGCGGGAAUUUUUAUCCAUCAUUCAAAUUUACCUCUAAAUUAGCUUUUUCAGAAUGUAUCAAACAACCCUCUUUUCCAGACAGAAUGAAAAUAUAACAGAAUUAUUCAAACCUUUAACUAAAUAUCAAACUAAAUAAUAAAAAUGCUAUAUAGUAUCAUUUGAUAAUGAUUAAAUAAGAACUCAAACAGGUUAAUCCAGUAUAGUUGAAUGAAAAAUGUCAUUUUUCAUGCGAAAAUUGACUCUUUUGUGACCUGAAUGGCAUGCACGUGUUACCAUGGCAAAUGAGUUGCAUAGCAACCAAAUUAUGAUGGUUUUACAUUACUUAUGCCAGAUUAAGUCGAUGUGCCAAAUUUGAAAAAAAUCGGUGACAGUGCGUGCCGGACCCCUUAUAUAAAUGUUAAAGUGGUUACAGAGAAUGACUCUUAAUAUCUUCAACCAUUGAUAAUUUAGCAAAACGAAGGUGAUAUACACGCCAUUGUCCAUAGAGUAGGUCUAC
Molecule: long non-coding RNA, 3055 nt
Organism: Ostrea edulis (European flat oyster)
Lineage: Eukaryota; Metazoa; Mollusca; Bivalvia; Ostreida; Ostreidae
Exons: 2
Source: RefSeq, a predicted model, not a curated record